UCCGGUUGAUCCUGCCGGACCCGACUGCUAUCGGAAUGGGACUAAGCCAUGCGAGUCGUAUGUCCCUGAACUGCCAGGGGCAUGGCGAACGGCUCAGUAACACGUGGCCAACCUACCCUCAAGAUGCGGAUAACCCCGGGAAACUGGGACUAAUCCGCAAUAGGUCCAGAUUUCUGGAAUGAAUCUGGACCGAAAAGGUAACAUGAGCAUGUUUCAUGUUACCGCUUGAGGAUGGGGCUACGGCCGAUCAGGCUGUUGGUGGGGUAACGGCCCACCAAACCUUUGACCGGUACGGGCUUUGAGAGAAGGAGCCCGGAGAUGGACACUGAGACAAGGGUCCAGGCCCUAUGGGGCGCAGCAGGCGCGAAACCUCCACAAUGGGCGAAAGCCUGAUGGGGUUAUUCCGAGUGCCAUCCGCUAAGGAUGGCUUUUCCCAAGUCUAAACCGCUUGGGGAAUAAGGGGAGGGCAAGUCUGGUGUCAGCCGCCGCGGUAAUACCAGCUCCCCGAGUGGUCGGGACGGUUAUUUGGCCUAAAGCAUCCGUAGCCGGCCCUGUCCGUCUUCCGUUAAAUCUAACGGCCCAACCGUUAGGCUGCGGAAGAUACCACAGGGCUAGGGGGCGGGAGAGGUGGACGGUACUCCAAGGGUAGGGGUAAAAUCCUCUGAUCCUUGGAAGACCACCGGUGGCGAAGGCGGUCCACCAGAACGCGCCCGACGGUGAGGGAUGAAAGCUGGGGGAGCGAACCGGAUUAGAUACCCGGGUAGUCCCAGCCGUAAACGAUGCGAGCUAGGUGACAGAAUGGCCUAAGAGCCAUUCUGCUGCCGCAGGGAAGCCGUUAAGCUCGCCGCCUGGGGAGUACGGACGCAAGUCUGAAACUUAAAGGAAUUGGCGGGGGAGCACCACAAGGGGUGAAGCCUGCGGUUCAAUUGGAUUCAACGCCGGG
This 943-nucleotide ribosomal RNA is filed under the name uncultured archaeon. RNAcentral describes it as "bacterial SSU rRNA". It matches the Rfam family "Archaeal small subunit ribosomal RNA", at positions 1 to 922 of the family's 1478-position model. The record is from RNAcentral.